AUUGAACGCUGGCGGCAGGCCUAACACAUGCAGGUCGAGCGGAUGAAGGGAGCUUGCUCCUGGAUUCAGCGGCGGACGGGUGAGUAAUGCCUAGGAAUCUGCCUGGUAGUGGGGGAUAACGUCCGGAAACGGGCGCUAAUACCGCAUACGUCCUGUGGGAGAAAGUGGGGGAUCUUCGGACCUCACGCUAUCAGAUGAGCCUAGGUCGGUUUAGCUAGUUGGUGGGGUAAAGGCCUACUAAGGUGACUAACCGUAACUGGUCUGAGAGAAUGAUCAGUCACAAUGGAGGUAAGGAAAGGUGCGGACUCCUAGGGGAGGCAGCAGUGGGGAAUAUUGGAUAGGGGGGUGAUGCCGGAGCCAGCCAUGCCGCGUGUACGGAGAAGGUCUUAGGAUUGAAAAAAACAGUGAGUUCGAAGAAAGAACAGUAAGAUAAUACCUUGCUGGUUUGACGUUAACAUCAGAAUAAGCACCGGCUAACUUCGUG
This 484-nucleotide ribosomal RNA is filed under the name uncultured bacterium. Its description in RNAcentral is "partial 16S ribosomal RNA". It matches the Rfam family "Bacterial small subunit ribosomal RNA", at positions 30 to 507 of the family's 1533-position model. The record is from RNAcentral.